This 253-nucleotide ribosomal RNA is filed under the name uncultured bacterium. RNAcentral's name for it is "partial 16S ribosomal RNA". It matches the Rfam family "Bacterial small subunit ribosomal RNA", at positions 524 to 776 of the family's 1533-position model. The record is from RNAcentral.
UACAGAGGGGGCAAGCGUUGUUCGGAAUUACUGGGCGUAAAGCGUGCGCAGGCGGUUUUGUAAGCCAGAUGUGAAAGCCCCGGGCUCAACCUGGGAAUUGCAUUUGAGACUGCGUAGCUAGGGUGCGGAAGAGGGAAGCGGAAUUUCCGGUGUAGCGGUGAAAUGCGUAGAUAUCGGAAGGAACACCAGUGGCGAAAGCGGCUUCCUGGUCCAGCACCGACGUUCAGGCACGAAAGCGUGGGGAGCAAACAGG